GUGUCAGCCGCCGCGGUAACACCGGCGGCCCGAGUGGUGGCCACUAUUAUUGGGUCUAAAGGGUCCGUAGCCGGUUUGGUCAGUCUUCCGGGAAAUCUGACGGCUUAGCCGUUAGGCUUUCGGGGGAUACUACCAGGCCUGGGACCGGGAGAGGUAAGAGGUACUACGGGGGUAGGAGUGAAAUCUUGUAAUCCCCGUGGGACCACCAGUGGCGAAGGCGUCUUACCAGAACGGGUCCGACGGUGAGGGACGAAAGCUGGGGGCACGAACCGGAUUAGAAACCCCUGUAGUCC
This 293-nucleotide ribosomal RNA is filed under the name uncultured Methanosarcinaceae archaeon. RNAcentral describes it as "partial 16S ribosomal RNA". It matches the Rfam family "Archaeal small subunit ribosomal RNA", at positions 455 to 747 of the family's 1478-position model. The record is from RNAcentral. Lineage: Archaea; Methanobacteriati; Methanobacteriota; Methanomicrobia; Methanosarcinales; Methanosarcinaceae.